Molecule: ribosomal RNA, 403 nt
Filed under: Verrucomicrobiota bacterium
Lineage: Bacteria; Pseudomonadati; Verrucomicrobiota
Description: Verrucomicrobia bacterium partial 16S ribosomal RNA
Rfam family: Bacterial small subunit ribosomal RNA
Source: RNAcentral
GGGGGAAUAUUGCACAAUGGGGGAAACCCUGAUGCAGCGACGCCGCGUGAGCGAAGAAGGUUUUCGAAUCGUAAAGCUCUGUCCUACGGGAAGAUAAUGACGGUACUAUAGGAGGAAGCUCCGGCUAACUACGUGCCAGCAGCCGCGGUAAUACGUAGGGGGCAAGCGUUGUCCGGAAUCACUGGGCGUAACGGGUUAGCAGGCGGAAAUGCAAGUCAGUUGUGAAAGGCAGAGGCUCAACCUCUGUAAGCAAUUGAAACUGUAUUUCUUGAGAUGUGGAGAGGCAAGUGGAAUUCCUAGUGUAGCGGUGAAAUGCGUAGAUAUUAGGAAGAAUACCGGUGGCGAAGGCGACUUGCUGGACACAAACUGACGCUGAGGAACGAAAGCGUGGGUAGCAAACAGG